UGCGUAGGGGGCAAGCGUUAUCCGGAUUUACUGGGUGUAAAGGGAGCGUAGACGGCAUAGCAAGUCUGAAGUGAAAGCCCGUGGCUCAACCGCGGAACUGCUUUGGAAACUGUUAAGCUGGAGUACUGGAGAGGCAAGCGGAAUUCCUAGUGUAGCGGUGAAAUGCGUAGAUAUUAGGAGGAACACCGGUGGCGAAAGCGGCUCUCUGGCCUGUAACUGACACUGAGGCUCGAAAGCGUGGGGAGCAAACAGG
Molecule: ribosomal RNA, 253 nt
Filed under: uncultured bacterium
Lineage: Bacteria
Description: partial 16S ribosomal RNA
Rfam family: Bacterial small subunit ribosomal RNA
Source: RNAcentral